This is a long non-coding RNA of Tachysurus fulvidraco (yellow catfish), 603 nucleotides long. RefSeq lists it as uncharacterized. The record is from RefSeq and is a predicted model, not a curated record. Lineage: Eukaryota; Metazoa; Chordata; Actinopteri; Siluriformes; Bagridae. The transcript is spliced from 2 exons.
CGGGAUAAAUAUUACAGAGGGUUCUUUAAAUAAAUCCUGCUGUAAUGUAAUCGCGCACCCUAUUGGCCACGCCGGUGGCGCUAUUGCGCGCUGAGUUCGAAAUAUCUGCAGCAGAGUUAGAGAGAACUGCUGUGGGUGAGUCGGUUCUUUUGCAGCUCCGUGCUAAGAGUUAUAAAAUAUUGGUUUAAUAUUCGAAUAUUAGACAAUGCAUGUAAGAGAUUGCACACAGUGGGCAAUGGUUGAUUUUUGGAGUGUUUUCUGUAUAUGUUUCUUGGAAUUUUCAUACUUUUAUUUCCGUUUGCAUGAAUGCACUAAUGUCCGCCAUUUUCCCAUGUGCUCUAACUGCGUGCAAUGUUUUCUUGAGUAGACGGAGCUGCAUCCCGGCUGAAAAGACUCACUAUUCUCUCUCCUUUUUACUGCUCUGUGUGCAGAGUUAGAGAGAACUGCUGUGGACGGAGCUGCAUCCCGGCUGAAAAGACUCACUAUUCUCUCCUUUUUACUGCUCUGUGUGCAGAAAAUAAACGAUAAUAUCAUCCACAUUGAGUGUGUGUGCUGUUGAGGAGUGGGUCAGACUGGGCCAGUUUGGAUCAAAGGUCACAUAUA